Non-coding RNA from Phascolarctos cinereus (koala), 440 nucleotides. NCBI's taxonomy places the organism in Eukaryota, Metazoa, Chordata, Mammalia, Diprotodontia, Phascolarctidae. The record is from RefSeq and is a predicted model, not a curated record.
UCACACAAACCCUAGACUGUUGAGGAGCACCAAGGGAGAUGAGCUGGACAGUUUAAAAAAAAAAAAAGCCCUGAUUUUGACACACAGAGAGGCCACAUUUCAAAUCUGGACUCCUAAGUUCUCAUGUGGGCACUUCCACCACUGACUAAAAUGGACACAUGGAUACCUCAGGGUUUAUUGGAGCACCCAAGUAUGGAUGUAAGGAAAAGAAGACAGACGCUGGCAAUGGACAGCGUACCAGUGAGGGCCCAGCAACAGCAGGCUGCCUCAGCAGACAAGACAGGGGAACUCCAUCAAAUACCCUAUUUUAAAAAGAGGAAGCUAUUCUAGGUAGCAAGAAGUCUGAGAAAUGUCCACAAUACUCAGGCUAAUUCAGGAGAACUGGGUAUCACCACUGCUUUUCUAUUUGCCCCCAUAUCUGCCUACCUUAAGAAAAGAUU